Molecule: long non-coding RNA, 655 nt
Organism: Oryzias melastigma (Indian medaka)
Lineage: Eukaryota; Metazoa; Chordata; Actinopteri; Beloniformes; Adrianichthyidae
Exons: 2
Source: RefSeq, a predicted model, not a curated record
CGUUUGUUGUUUAUUUCCUGAUUUAAUGAAAGAACAUUGAAUGGAUUCUGAAUGUAAGCGGUUUGAAUUCUGUGUCUGUCAUAAGAAGAUGAACUUCCUCCUCGGAGACGAACUGGACCAGCGUUUUAUCUGCUGCUGCAGGUCUUCAGCUGCGGUAUCUGUCUGAACAUUUCAGGGCGUCGACAGAACGGCUGAAUGCUCCCAUCCUGAAAUGACGCAGAAGAUAAAACGGAGCUUAGCAGGUCCAGGACAACGGACCGGUUCCGUCAUGUGUCAGAACUUCUGCUCUUCAGUCUGAUCUGCAGCCGCUCUCUGACCCGAUCAAAGCUUCAGAACCGAGCGUUUGGACUCACAGCCCGUUUCCCCCAUGAGCUGCUGGCCGUCUGGGAUGUGGCUCAGGCUGGAGCUGCUGGAGCCCAUCCUGCUGCCGCCGCCGUCGAGGUGAUCUCCAGUUCUGACAGACGAGCGCUGACCAGCAGGGGGCGACGGCGAGGGGCGGUCUGAAGGGACAGGAAGCUGCUUUAUGCAAAUCCAAGUCUGACUUCAUUCAAGACGAGGAGAAACGAGGAAGAGAUCAUCAUGCCACGCCGUCUCCAUGGCAACCAUGUAGAGAAAAUGACCUUUUUCUGGAAGAAUUAAAAUGUUUCCGACACUC